This 544-nucleotide ribosomal RNA is filed under the name Leptaulax formosanus. RNAcentral describes it as "partial 16S ribosomal RNA". It matches the Rfam family "Bacterial large subunit ribosomal RNA", at positions 1798 to 2619 of the family's 2925-position model. The record is from RNAcentral. Lineage: Eukaryota; Metazoa; Arthropoda; Insecta; Coleoptera; Passalidae.
GCCUGUUUAUUAAAAACAUGGUUUUUUGUAAAUGAUUUAAAAUCUGAUCUGCUCACUGAAAUUUAAAUAGCUGCAGUAAUUUGACUGUACGAAGGUAGCAUAAUAAUUAGUUAUUUAAUUGGUAACUAGAAUGAAUGGUUGGACAAAGUAUAAGCUGUCUUUAUAUUAAUUUUAAAGAAAUUUAUUUUUGAGUCAAAAAGCUUAAAUAUAAUUAAAAGACGAGAAGACCCUAUAGAAUUUUAUAUAAUUUUAUUUAUUAAUUUAAAGUAAUUAAUAUUAAUAUUUAAAUAAUAUUUUAUUGGGGCGAUAAAAAAAUUUAAUAAACUUUUUUAUAAUUAAAACAUUGAUGAAUGUUAAAUUGAUUCAAUAAUAUUGAUUAAUAGAAUAAAUUACCUUAGGGAUAACAGCGUAAUUUUUUUAAAAGUUCAUAUUGAAUUAAAAGAUUGCGACCUCGAUGUUGGAUUAAAAUAAAAAUUAGGUGUAGAAGCUUAAUGAUUAGGUCUGUUCGACCUUUAAAAUUUUACAUGAUCUGAGUUCAGACCGG